This 466-nucleotide ribosomal RNA is filed under the name uncultured bacterium. RNAcentral's name for it is "partial 16S ribosomal RNA". It matches the Rfam family "Bacterial small subunit ribosomal RNA", at positions 28 to 507 of the family's 1533-position model. The record is from RNAcentral.
GAUGAACGCUGGCGGCGUGCUUAACACAUGCAAGUCGAACGGAAAGGCCCAAGCUUGCUUGGGUACUCGAGUGGCGAACGGGUGAGUAACACGUGGGUGAUCUGCCCUGCACUUCGGGAUAAGCCUGGGAAACUGGGUCUAAUACCGGAUAGGACCACAUUUUGGAUGGUGUGGUGGAAAGUUUUUCGGUGCGGGAUGAGCUCGCGGCCUAUCAGCUUGUUGGUGGGGUAAUGGCCUACCAAGGCGUCGACGGGUAGCCGGCCUGAGAGGGUGUACGGCCACAUUGGGACUGAGAUACGGCCCAGACUCCUACGGGAGGCAGCAGUGGGGAAUAUUGCACAAUGGGCGCAAGCCUGAUGCAGCGACGCCGCGUGGGGGAUGACGGCCUUCGGGUUGUAAACUCCUUUCGCUAGGGACGAAGCGUUAUGUGACGGUACCUGGAGAAGAAGCACCGGCUAACUACGUG